AGACGGCUUAACAUUCACCUUCUAAGGUAGAAUCUACAAUGAUCGGUUGUUUGGAACUCUUCCAAUUUACUGAACCACCAUUGCACAUAUUCUGAUGUAGACUUUCUAUCAUCAAUAUGUGUGCAUCCUUCUACCUUCAACUGUUAUCUUCUUCCAAAGACCAAGAACAUGUCCUUAGUCUUCUCAAGUACUUAAGACUAUUCUUCAUAGCUAUCCAGUGCUUCUUGCCUGGAUUUG
This 237-nucleotide long non-coding RNA is filed under the name Phoenix dactylifera (date palm). Its description in RNAcentral is "long non-coding RNA (PDAC_LNC015451)". The record is from RNAcentral. Lineage: Eukaryota; Viridiplantae; Streptophyta; Magnoliopsida; Arecales; Arecaceae.